This 363-nucleotide long non-coding RNA is filed under the name Nicotiana tabacum (common tobacco). RNAcentral's name for it is "long non-coding RNA (NTAB_LNC000191)". Lineage: Eukaryota; Viridiplantae; Streptophyta; Magnoliopsida; Solanales; Solanaceae. The record is from RNAcentral.
GGUGGAAUAGGAUGGCCAUGCGAAUUCAUGGCCAUUGAUGGAGGCAUUGGUGGACGAUUUACCAUGAGAUUUUGCUGACCUAGCAUCUGUGGCAUGGGAGGAGGUGGGGGCCGAACCUGAGGAAUCAUGUUAACCAUAGGAGGUCGAGGUGGAGGCGGAGCAGCAACCCCAGCACCGGUGGAGGUGGAAUACUGGACGGUAUUAGGAGGCCUAGGAAUAUUCAGCGCAAGCCCAGGAGGUGGAGGUAGUGGCCUAACAGAUGGAAAACCAGGUCUGGGAGGUGGAGGAGCCUGCGGACCAGGAAGGUUUCUUUCAUCAUUUGCAGCAUCAUUCUGAUCAUCUGCAUUAGUGUUGUGAGACAUU